Molecule: ribosomal RNA, 465 nt
Filed under: Vreelandella stevensii
Lineage: Bacteria; Pseudomonadati; Pseudomonadota; Gammaproteobacteria; Oceanospirillales; Halomonadaceae
Description: partial 16S ribosomal RNA
Rfam family: Bacterial small subunit ribosomal RNA
Source: RNAcentral
CCUACGGGAGGCUGCAGUGGGGAAUAUUGGACAAUGGGCGAAAGCCUGAUCCAGCCAUGCCGCGUGUGUGAAGAAGGCCUUCGGGUUGUAAAGCACUUUCAGUGGGGAAGAAAGCCUUGGGGCUAAUACCCUCGAGGAAGGACAUCACCCACAGAAGAAGCACCGGCUAACUCCGUGCCAGCAGCCGCGGUAAUACGGAGGGUGCGAGCGUUAAUCGGAAUUACUGGGCGUAAAGCGCGCGUAGGCGGUCUGAUAAGCCGGUUGUGAAAGCCCCGGGCUCAACCUGGGAACGACAUCCGGAACUGUCAGGCUAGAGUGCAGGAGAGGAAGGUAGAAUUCCCGGUGUAGCGGUGAAAUGCGUAGAGAUCGGGAGGAAUACCAGUGGCGAAGGCGGCCUUCUGGACUGACACUGACGCUGAGGUGCGAAAGCGUGGGUAGCAAACAGGAUUAGAUACCCGAGUAGUC